CUCACAAGAUCAUGACACGUGUCA
This 24-nucleotide non-coding RNA is filed under the name Arabidopsis thaliana (thale cress). The record is from RNAcentral. Lineage: Eukaryota; Viridiplantae; Streptophyta; Magnoliopsida; Brassicales; Brassicaceae.